RNAcentral lists this ribosomal RNA (1469 nucleotides) under uncultured Chloroflexota bacterium. RNAcentral's name for it is "bacterial SSU rRNA". It matches the Rfam family "Bacterial small subunit ribosomal RNA". Lineage: Bacteria; Bacillati; Chloroflexota. The record is from RNAcentral.
UAGAGUUUGAUCAUGGCUCAGGAUGAACGCUGGCGGCGUGCCUAAUACAUGCAAGUCGAACGUGAUUCUCGUUUUCGGAUGAGAUGAAAGUGGCGCACGGGUGAGUAACACGUAGCUGACCUGCCCUUCAGUGGGGAACAACGGGUGGAAACGCCCGCUAAUACCGCAUACGCUCGUGGCAGCUAGACAACCGCGAGGAAAGCUUUAGUGCUGAAGGAGGGGGCUGCGGCCCAUCAGGUAGUUGGUGCGGUAACGGCGCACCAAGCCGACGACGGGUAGGGGGCCUAAGAGGGUGACCCCCCACACUGGGACUGAGACACGGCCCAGACUCCUACGGGAGGCAGCAGUAAGGGAUAUUGCGACAAUGGACGCAAGUCUGACGCAGCAACGCCGCGUGAGGGAUGACGGCCUUCGGGUUGUAAACCUCUUUUCUGUGGGAAGAGACAGGACGGUACCACAGGAAGAAGUCACGGCUAACUACGUGCCAGCAGCCGCGGUAAAACGUAGGUGGCAAGCGUUAUCCGGAUUUACUGGGUGUAAAGCGUGUGCAGGCGGUCGUGUAAGUAGCGCGUGAAAGCGCCCGGCUCAACCGGGCGAGGACGUGCUGUACUGCACGACUGGAGAUGGGUAGAGGCGAGUGGAAUUCCGGGUGUAGUGGUGAAAUGCGUAGAUAUCCGGAGGAACACCAGAGGCGAAGGCGACUCGCUGGGCCCGUUCUGACGCUCAGACACGACAGCAUGGGGAGCGAACGGGAUUAGAAACCCCGGUAGUCCAUGCCGUAAACGAUGCAGACUAGGUAUCGCGGGGGUAAAACCCGGCGGCGCCGCAGCCAACGCGCUAAGUCUGCCACCUGGGGACUACGGCCGCAAGGUUAAAACUCAAAGGAAUUGACGGGGGCCCGCACAAGCAGCGGAGCGUGUGGUUUAAUUCGAGGCUACACGAAGAACCUUACCUAGGCUUGACAUACAGGUGGUAGGGAACCGAAAGGGGACCGACCUUCGGGAGCCUGUACAGGUGCUGCAUGGCUGUCGUCAGCUCGUGUCGUGAGAUGUUCGGUUAAGUCCGGUAACGAGCGCAACCCUCAGGUCCAGUUACAUGUGUCUGGAGCGACUGCCCGUAGAAAGCGGGAGGAAGGUGGGGACGACGUCAAGUCAGCAUGGCCUUUAUGCCUAGGGCUACACACACGCUACAAUGGCCAACACAAUGGGUCGCCAACCCGCGAGGGGGAGCCAAUCCAGUCAAAGUUGGUCUCAGUUCGGAUUGCAGGCUGCAACCCGCCUGCAUGAAGUCGGAGUUGCUAGUAAACGCGCAUCAGCUAUGGCGCGUUGAAUACGUUCCCGGGCCUUGUACACACCGCCCGUCACGUCAUGGGAGCUGGUCAUGCCUGAAGUCGGUGCGCUAACCGCAAGGAGGCAGCCGCCGAAGGCAGGGCUGGUGACUGGGACGAAGUCGUAACAAGGUAACCGUAA